UACGUAGGGACCAAGCGUUGUUCGGAUUUACUGGGCGUAAAUGGCGCGUAGGCGGCAAUUCCAGUCAGCUGUGAAAUCUCCGGGCUUAACUCGGAACGGUCAGCUGAUACUGCUUUGCUAGAGUGCAGAAGGGGCAAUCGGAAUUCUUGGUGUAGCGGUGAAAUGCGUAGAUAUCAAGAGGAACACCUGAGGUGAAGACGGGUUGCUGGGCUGACACUGACGCUGAGGCGCGAAAGCUAGGGUAGCAAACGGG
RNAcentral lists this ribosomal RNA (253 nucleotides) under uncultured bacterium. RNAcentral describes it as "partial 16S ribosomal RNA". It matches the Rfam family "Bacterial small subunit ribosomal RNA", at positions 524 to 776 of the family's 1533-position model. The record is from RNAcentral.